GAUGUGGCUCAGUGGUAAAGUACUUGCCUAGCAUGCUUGAGGACCUAGGUUCAAUCCCUAGUACA
This 65-nucleotide transfer RNA is filed under the name Marmota monax (woodchuck). RNAcentral describes it as "tRNA.Ala". It matches the Rfam family "tRNA", at positions 6 to 65 of the family's 71-position model. From Rfam's summary of the family: Transfer RNA (tRNA) molecules are approximately 80 nucleotides in length. Lineage: Eukaryota; Metazoa; Chordata; Mammalia; Rodentia; Sciuridae. The record is from RNAcentral.